This is a long non-coding RNA of Mauremys reevesii (Reeves's turtle), 2858 nucleotides long. RefSeq lists it as uncharacterized. NCBI's taxonomy places the organism in Eukaryota, Metazoa, Chordata, Testudines, Geoemydidae. The transcript is spliced from 2 exons. The record is from RefSeq and is a predicted model, not a curated record.
GGAUCUUGCUAGUGCUCUGUCUUCCUGGUAUUUUUGUGUUUGUUUGUUUUAAAUAGACGCUGUCUAGUACAUAUAGUCCUCUGGCUAGUAGUUGUUAUCUGGCAAAGUGUUCAAGCUCUAUUUAUUUUGUGCCUGUGAUCUGGGAGUAUCCAAGCAGUUUACUAAGGUGAUAUCACCAUUUCACAAUGGGAUGAGACAAAGACAGAAAGCCAAGGAUGCAGAAAAUGUAUGGUUUUAUUGUUAAAACACUGGAAUAGGAGUCUCUUCUCAGUUCUUGCAGAGACUUUGGGUAUAUCUACACUGCAAAGAAAAACCUAUGGCUGGCCCAAGACAGCCAACUUGAGCUCAGGCUAUGGGCCCGUUUCAUUGCUAUGUAGACUUCCAGGUUCAGGCUGGAACCUGGGGUCUAGGUCCUUGUGGAUUUAACAGCUGAAGCAGCUAUCAGUACCAUGUUCCUAACAAGUAUUAAAUCUCUAAUCAAGAGAGGACCAUUCCACUGCUUUAUGAUAUUGUGUUUGCAAGAGAUGAAUGACACAAAAGAAGCAGAGAGGCAUCAGGUUCACAUUAGCCCUGGUAACAGAGUGGAGUUGUUUAUCAAUAAUUGUCAAAUGAUCUGCAUUUCGGUAUCUCAGGAUCAGGUGCAGUACUUUCUUUAGUGGCAAUAUGGAACACAACAGUUUAUCUAUCAUGAAAGUUGAAGGAAAAUGUGCUGUAUGGAAACCGAUUGCCAGCUUGGAUAAUUUCACUGUUGAAUCUGCAAGUCAUUGCACAGUGCACUGCAGGAUGUGCAAACUCACUAUGAGUAAAAGUGAAAGUCAUGCAUUGGCACAAAUAAGGUCAAGCAGCAGGUGUAUUCCUCCACGCUGAGCAGUUAAGGGUCAAGCCUCUUGCAUAGUCUCUCUAUUCCUUGCAAACAAACAAGGUGAUAAGGGGAUGGGGGAGCAUGGGUGCACCUGGGGAGCAAUGGACUUCAGGAUGAUCUAAUAAGUUAUUUAGCUACUUGUUCCCUGAUUGGACCUUACACCUACCUACAAGACGGAAGUAAUUUGGCAGUCUUUCAGCAGUGCUCUCAAUAUCAGAUCAGAUUCCCCAGUGCUCCUUUGUUCUGCUCAUAACUUUUAACCUACACAACCCUCAGCACCUGCCCUGCACAGGAUCAAGCCAUCUAAGCUAAGCACACAGACUGUCAAUGCUAAUAUAUAGAAAUAGAAGAGCAGCAUCAUAUGAUACAUACACAAGGAUAACUUUGACAAGUCUUAGAAACUAGUUAGAAAGCCUCAGCAGCAAUGGCGCUGUUACUUGAUGUAAAGUUGGCAGCUAAGGGUAUAACGGCAAAGAAUUUCACUAGGAAAGAGGAAGAGCUACUUGAUCUCUGAGAGGGAGAAUGACAGAAAUAGCCUGACAGCUUGACAAUCUCCUGACUCUAAAAAUGUAAGGAUCUGAUUCUUUGGCUUAAACCACAGCAAACUGUUAGCACAAGAUUUUUUUUUACUAAUAUUGUAGAGCUGUUAUACAAACUGUAGACUAGAUAUGAUUUGUACCCUUCAAUUUUCUCUCUGUUUUAUAUUUUAAAAUGCCUUUGAGUUAUUUUUAGUGCUACUGUCACUUGAGUAUCUAUUGCAAAUCAUUCUUGAUCAUAAGGAACACAUGUUUUUGACCUCUCAUGACAAAAGGUACCUGGUCUAAGAGUACUUGGCUAAAGGCAUGAGCAGGAAAAGUCCACACUCCCAUAAGCUGCUGACUACAGUCAAUAAGGAGUAUGGAGAAAUCCUGAUAACAGUGAAGAGUGACAGUAAUAGGGGACCACACAGCAAAUUCUGGUGAGGUUUGGCUUUCUACAAUUAUAUAGUCAGUCAUAGAUUUUAAGCUUUAAAACACCUAAUUCACCCAGGUACUAGAUGAGAGUCUAAAGAGAGAUAUAAGGCCAAAUCAGACAGUCCUUGUGCAUCUGCCUGAUGAGUCCUCCACAAGCAGAUCUACCUCCUUCUGUGCAGAAGGGGACUCAGCUGUCUCCAUGACCCUGUUACCUACCACCCAGAUUCAGUAGUGCUUUCUCUGUGGUUCAGGGUCUAUGUUGGGGAAAGGAGCAAUGAGUAGGUAGGCUGGAGGGAAGUGUGGGCAAGUUGGGGGUGAUACAGAGUUUCCCCAGACUGCAUUAUCUUUUCCAUAUUGCCGACAGUGUGUUCCAGGCACUAUAUGGCCAAGGAUCCAAGGGUGAGGAGUGGGGCUUGCAGGGGGAAACCUCUGCCUUCCUCCAUGGAAUAAUGCGGAGAACUCUCCACAAAGGAUUCUUCAGGGAGCUUUUUCUUCCCCCAAACCCUAUCCCACAGCUUCUAACACUAAAGAGGACAAUCUGCCUCCUGGGAAUGUGCUUGUUAAGUUCUUUUUGGCUAUCCUUUGUAGCUAGAGUCUGUAAACAUCAGAAUUAACCUUGUAGAAUGCAGGCUGGGAUACAUUUUGCAGAUGAAAUUUAAUAAAACAAAAACCAUCUUACAAUGAGCAUGCAUCUGCAUUAAGGGGAAAAAUUUAGGUGAACACACAUGACUGAAAUUCAAAUAAAAUAAAUUAAUUGUUUAAAAAACAGAGAAUAUGAAUAAUUUCCAGUAUAGAAGUGCGUAAUGUUUAUAAUGGGUACAAUUUUCUGCAAUUCUGUAAUCUUUAGGGUCCAGAACCUGCUAUAAUCUGCAGCCACAUGGACCUAUUUAUAACUACUACUGUGAAACUGAAUAUAAAACACACAUUUCUGCUGGUCAGGGAGAUGUACAUUUCUAAAAUAUUAUAUUAUAUUAAUAAAUGUACUUCUCUUGGACUACCACAAUUUAUGUACUAGAAUUUAUAAACAGUUUUGUCAUAUUUAA